Molecule: non-coding RNA, 193 nt
Filed under: Bacillota bacterium
Lineage: Bacteria; Bacillati; Bacillota
Also listed under: 2 other names
Description: Firmicutes bacterium (compost metagenome) 6S RNA
Rfam family: 6S / SsrS RNA
About the family: E. coli 6S RNA was the first non coding RNA to be sequenced, but its function was unknown until recently. It consists of 184 nucleotides that fold into an extended hairpin structure with a large single-stranded internal bulge.
Source: RNAcentral
CUUCCCCUGCUGUGUGCGUGGUGAAGCUGGCCAUUGUUAUGAGCCAACACCCCAACACGAGGGAGCCCGGACUCUGCUUCCCGAUGCACAUGCCCCCCGCUUGAGGGGGACGUCGCUGACGGACAGGAGGGCACCCACCUGCGAGAGAGCAGGUUCAUUAACGGGCCAGCACCAGCGGCAUGGCGGGGUUUUC